This 253-nucleotide ribosomal RNA is filed under the name uncultured bacterium. Its description in RNAcentral is "partial 16S ribosomal RNA". It matches the Rfam family "Bacterial small subunit ribosomal RNA", at positions 524 to 776 of the family's 1533-position model. The record is from RNAcentral.
UACGUAGGAUGCAAGCGUUGUUCGGAAUCACUGGGCGUAAAGCGCGUGUAGGCGGCUUGGUAAGUCGGGUGUGAAAGCCCGGAGCUCAACUCCGGUACUGCAUUCGAAACUACCUCGCUCGAGUCCCGGAGAGGGAGGUGGAAUUCCCGGUGUAGAGGUGUAAUUCGUAGAUAUCGGGAGGAACACCAGUGGCGAAGGCGGCCACCUGUACGGUGACUGACGCUGAGACGCGAAAGCGUGGGGAGCAAACAGG